RNA transcript from Neoarius graeffei (lesser salmon catfish), 1983 nucleotides. It is a transcript of the gene named major histocompatibility complex class I-related gene protein-like, with no coding region annotated. NCBI's taxonomy places the organism in Eukaryota, Metazoa, Chordata, Actinopteri, Siluriformes, Ariidae. The transcript has 8 exons. The record is from RefSeq and is a predicted model, not a curated record.
GGAAUGUUUAUUUCUGGAGAGCGCCCAAUCCCUGCUCCUGUUUAAACGACCGUAAAGAACUUUUUAAAACUAAAACUAUUUAAGUUUCUUCCGUCGCUUUCUGCAUCAGGAUUACAAUGUCAGAUGGGACACGGACUGGAAGUUUUACUUUUUCUCACAGUUUCUCUUCAUCUUUCAUCAGCAGUCACACACUCUCUGCAGUACCUCUACACUGGAGUUACAGGAAUAAAUUUCCCAGAAUUCACUGAAGUUGGUCUGGUGGAUGGAGAGCAGAUCAGUUACUACGACAGUAUCAUCAGGAGGGUGAUCCCAAAGGCAGAGUGGAUACAGAAGGUCGACACUGAUGAUCCAGAUUACUGGAACACACAGACACAGGUUGCGCAGGGAACACAGGAGGUCUUCAAAGCCAAUGUGGCUACAGCGAUGCAGCGCUUUAAUCACACUGCAGGAGUUCACACAGUGCAGGAGAUGGUCGGCUGUGAGCUGGAUGAUGACGGCACCACUAGAGGAUACAGUCAGUUCGGUUAUGAUGGAGAAGAUUUCAUCAGUUUGGAUCUGAAAACUCUCACCUGGAUCGCUCCGACACCUCAAGCUGAGAUCACCAAACACAAGUGGAAUAAUGAUCCUGGUGACACUGUGGGCCUGAAGAACUACCUGGAGAACAUCUGUAUCGAGUGGUUAAAGAAGUACGUGUCUUACGGCAGAGAGACUCUGGAGAGGAAAGUUCGUCCCGAGGUGUCAGUGUUCCACAAACACUCUCCUUCUCCAGAGGUGGUGUGUCACGCUACAGGUUUCUUCCCCAAAGCAGUGAUCAUCACCUGGCAGAAGGACGGAGAGGACCUGAUUGAGGACGUGGAGCUCAGCAAGACGUUACCCAACCAGGAUGGAAGUUUCCAGAAGAGGAGCAUUCUGAAAGUCCCAGCUGAGGAGCUGCAGAAACACAAAUACACCUGCGUGGUUCAGCACAGCAGCUUGGGGGAGGGGAAGAUAGUCCUAGAAGUACCGAAAGAUGGAGAAUCAGAUGGAGGGCAGAUUGGAGUCGUCAUUGGUGUCGUCGUGGCCGUCAUCGCUCUCGCUGCUGUUGUCGCUGCUGUUGUCGCUGCUGUUGUCUUCUGGAAGAAGAGGAACUCUGGAUUCAAACCUGUUCCCCUCAAACCCUCCUCUGAAGGAGAUUCUUCCUCCAACAACUCUUAAACUGUGGCUGUGUGUCUUCCUGCUGGAGUGAGAGAGAGAAAGACAUGAUGAUGUUUACAGUGUAAUAUGGAAUAAAAAUGAGAGAGGAGGAGAUGGAGAUGAGGAACACACACACACACACACACACACACACACACACACACACACACACACACACACGUGACUCCAGUGGGUAAUCUGCUCUCGGUGUGGGAUUUUUAUUUUAUGGCUUUUUAUUGUGAAUCUGUUAUUGCUGUAAAAUGGGAUUAUUAGAUUGUUCGGGUUUUUUCGGUGUAAAUUCUCAUAAUUUGUGUUUGGGUUAGAUGUGAGUGUGUAUGAGCUUCUUUCCUCUGUUCAUUUAUCCCCUGAUUUACUGCAGAAUUUAAUCCCGUCAUAACGUCAGGACACGACAGGUUUGAUUUCCGUCUUUGACCUUUUAAUCCAGUGCGAUUUUCCUCAGCAGCUGUUUGUGGAGCUGAUUUGUGCGUCUCAGACAGGAAGUGUGUGAAGCUCCAGAUGUGAUGCGUGUUGAACAGAUUUGACUAAAGUGUAAAAGAUGAGGAGUGACGCAGCAGAAGCAGGAGUUCAUGCUGGAUGAUCAGCGCUCAAAGCUUUUAUUUUCUCCACAAGUGGAAAACACAAAGCAGCUAAAUGACACGGCACUGAUUCCAUUAUUGAUUAUUUAACUCCAUUUAAAGCAAAAACCAAUCCGUUCAACACGCUGACGCAUCUGUACGACCCGAAUCUCUCCCACAAUCCCUCUGUUCUGUCUGUGGAACUCUGAGUGAAUAAUAAAGUGUAUUUUCUUCA